GUGGUAAUGCCGGAUGCUCCGGUUGGAUGCAUGUCCUUCCGGGAAAGAUUCCAUCGGUAUGGGAUGGGGUCGCGUCCUAUCAGCUUGAUGGCGGGGUAACGGCCCACCAUGGCUUCGACGGGUAGCCGGCCUGAGAGGGCGACCGGCCACAUUGGGACUGAGAUACGGCCCAGACUCCUACGGGAGGCAGCAGUGGGGAAUAUUGCACAAUGGGCGCAAGCCUGAUGCAGCGACGCCGCGUGCGGGAUGGAGGCCUUCGGGUUGUAAACCGCUUUUGAUCGGGAGCAAGCCCUUCGGGGUGAGUGUACCCUUCGAAUAAGCACCGGCUAACUACGUGCCAGCAGCCGCGGUAAUACGUAGGGUGCAAGCGUUAUCCGGAAUUAUUGGGCGUAAAGGGCUCGUAGGCGGUUCGUCGCGUCCGGUGUGAAAGCCCAUCGCUUAACGGUGGGUCUGCGCCGGGUACGGGCGGGCUGGAGUGCGGUAGGGGAGACUGGAAUUCCCGGUGUAACGGUGGAAUGUGUAGAUAU
Molecule: ribosomal RNA, 527 nt
Filed under: Bifidobacterium dentium
Lineage: Bacteria; Bacillati; Actinomycetota; Actinomycetes; Bifidobacteriales; Bifidobacteriaceae
Description: bacterial SSU rRNA
Rfam family: Bacterial small subunit ribosomal RNA
Source: RNAcentral